CCCAGUCUGCGCCCCCAGACCAAGCACCGGCCCCAGCAAGAGACACAUGCCCACCCGCUCGGAGGCACCUCUCCUCGGUGGUACCACGGGCAGCCGAGGCCGAGUGGCCACACCAAGCCACCCUGAGGUCCUGAUCCGGGCGGAGCAGCGGGCAUGCACACAGCAGCAGCUCCUCGCAUGGCCACGCUGCCCCAGACCCGUCACUGCACGCUUCAGGGUUUCUCAGGCCACUGGCAGAGCACGAGGUGGCCACAAGUGCGUGGGCAGCGGUUAUGGGGUACGGUGCCCCCGGGCCCCCCACAGCCAGGGUCCUGAAACGCGUGUCCCAGAACAGCGCCCCCGGGCCCCCCGUGGUCCCUCUGGAGCCGGCACUUUCGAGCCGCUCGCUCCAGCAGACAAACGCCCUGGUUUCAGCCAUCACUGCUCUACUGCAACGAGUGAGCCACUGGAAAGUGAAACUGAAGAAUCAAGUCUUCAGAGACCUGACAACUGGCCACACAUUCUGGUCACGAAAUGAGGGUUCGUGAAAGAGUUUCCUCUGCGUUCAGAUGCAGGUGGACUCCCCAGUCACGGUCACUUUCCUACCCGCCCCCCACUGCAGGGCGGGCCCAGCCCCGCACACUCGGUGGCAGAGCCGACGUGUCCCUCCCCACUUCUCCACCCAUGAAGUCACGGCACAGAGGUCAGGCCUUCUGCUGGAUGGUGGAAACCUGCCGGGAGGCAGAAGGACCGCGGCCCAGAGAUCUGUCUGCGGCCGGGACACAGCCCAGCCGUGAUCACAACUGCAGCUCAAGUGUGAAAGGCGCAGCUCGGGACGCUCCUGGCUCAGGCCACACGCAGCUAGAAACCACCGACUUCACGGCCCAAAAGGUGUCACAAAACUACAGGGGGCAGUCCGAGCUGCUCAGGGGACCUGAACCGAUACGCACGACUCUCGUCACUGGGCGGUCCUGCUCCGGUUUGAUGGUGACCUACAUCUAACCAGGUGAACAAAAAAUACAUUUUCAAAAAAUCAAAGGUCAAGACUUUGAGUCUGAAUCAGGGGCCCUCGAUCUUACAGGGUCUCUCAUCUUGUGUGCAAAACAGCCGGUGUGAACGUGCCUGCCUGCGUCGGCCGACUUACGCCGGACAGGGACUGUACCCAGGCUCAGCGGCUGGAGCCAAGGGGCCCCGAGACUGAGCCAAGAGUAGGGAGGACACCCGACCUGUCCGGCCACGCACAGCCCUGAACAGACACCGUCCCGCGAGCCAAGAGCUGACCUGCCCCCGCUGCACAUGCCCCUAGCCGAGGCGUCGGGCCUUCUCCAGACAAACGCUCAACCUCUCUCCCUCAUGGAAACACAGCCCAGUGUCCGUGCUCACACCAGAGCUGACCCUGCCCACAGGCCACAGCCACGGCCACAGCCACGGAUGGCCGAGGGAGGGGCCCCUGACUGCCCGGAGCACCCGGAGCCCAGCACUGGGGCUCUGGCCGCGGGAAGGCGCGCAGACACGCACCUCCGCCGACCUGCCCCGGCCAAGGCCCUCAUCCCCUGCCACUGGGCUGGGGGGGCCACGGUCCACCAAACACAGGACACAAGCCCCAAAAGCGGUCACCUGAGGGUCACACCGGCCUGGGCCCAGCCUCCCCAGGCGGCACGGGCCGAGGCCUCCCUGGAGAACCAGGGACGCAGAUGGAGGCGUCCCAGCACCCCACUGAAAUCUCCUGAUGCAAAGGCCGCACCCACAUGCGAAGCCACAGGUCAGCUUCUGGGUUCCAGCGUCACCAGAUGCCCGGGGACAGCGCCUGCAUCUGAGACGGCCGUGAAGACAAAUGGGACGACUUGGUCUGCAGGAAACGGGGGAUGUGGGACAAAGGAAACAGCCCACAGCACCGGACAGCCGGCAGACAAGGUUCUCCACCAGCAAGCG
Bos taurus (domestic cattle) is the source of this 1911-nucleotide long non-coding RNA. Lineage: Eukaryota; Metazoa; Chordata; Mammalia; Artiodactyla; Bovidae. The record is from Ensembl.